RNAcentral lists this unclassified non-coding RNA (421 nucleotides) under Hevea brasiliensis (rubber tree). Lineage: Eukaryota; Viridiplantae; Streptophyta; Magnoliopsida; Malpighiales; Euphorbiaceae. The record is from RNAcentral.
UUCAUUUCCUUGGCCAUCAUUUGCGUCCUUUUGCACCUUAUAGGUCUGGAGUGGAACGAUGUCAGAGAGGAAAUCGAAAAGCUCUUCAUCCCUUAUCGCCCUAGCAAAGUCAUAACGCUUCAGAGUUCGACAUUUGCCUUUAUCAGCUUGCAUCCACGCACGUAAGGUGAGGUCCAUAAUAAGCAUCUCAAUUGCCUUCGAUAACAGAACCGCAGAAGUUGCGCUAACCAUCUUUACUUGAUCAUUUGACUUCAUAGCCCGUCUGAUCCUUGAAAUGGGCAUCUCAGGUUUUCUCUUUGGAUCUGCACGUAGAAUUUCUUCCUUUUGUUGAUUCCAGAAACAGGAGAGAUUUUCUUUUAGCAAUUGCAUAAACUUUGGAUCCCUUUCAUCUUCAUCCUGCUGAAUUUUGUUGUUACUUGGC